RNAcentral lists this ribosomal RNA (460 nucleotides) under uncultured bacterium. Its description in RNAcentral is "partial 16S ribosomal RNA". It matches the Rfam family "Bacterial small subunit ribosomal RNA", at positions 338 to 795 of the family's 1533-position model. The record is from RNAcentral.
CCUACGGGAGGCAGCAGUGAGGAAUAUUGGUCAAUGGACGAGAGUCUGAACCAGCCAAGUAGCGUGCAGGAUGACUGCCCUAUGGGUUGUAAACUUCUUUUAUAUGGGAAUAAAAUGCUCCACGUGUGGGGUUUUGUAUGUACCACAUGAAUAAGGAUCGGCUAACUCCGUGCCAGCAGCCGCGGUAAUACGGAGGAUCCGAGCGUUAUCCGGAUUUAUUGGGUUUAAAGGGAGCGUAGGUCGAUUGUUAAGUCAGUGGUGAAAUGUUGCGGCUCAACCGUGAAAUUGCGGUUAAAACUGGCAUUCUUGAGUACAGGAGAGGUGUGCGGAAUUCGUGGUGUAGCGGUGAAAUGCUUAGAUAUCACGAAGAACUCCGAUUGCGAAGGCAGCACACUGGAGCGCAACUGACACUGAGGCUCGAAAGUGUGGGUAUCGAACAGGAUUAGAUACCCUAGUAGUC